This 600-nucleotide ribosomal RNA is filed under the name Triticum aestivum (bread wheat). RNAcentral describes it as "partial small subunit ribosomal RNA". The record is from RNAcentral. Lineage: Eukaryota; Viridiplantae; Streptophyta; Magnoliopsida; Poales; Poaceae.
AUGCAAGUCGAAGAAGGAUUGGCGGUGCUGCCGGCUGGCGUCAAGUUCGAUCCCACGGAUCAGGAGCUGAUCGAGCACCUUGAGGCCAAAGUGAGUGCUGACAACACGAGAUUUCAGUUUCUCAUCGAUUUGUUCAUACCAACCAUCGAUAGCGAGCACGGCAUAUGCUACACCCAACCUGAGAAACUUCCAGGUAUCACACUGAGUGGGCUAAGGAAGCAUUUCUUCCAGCGCAAUUCCAGGGCGUUCAAAAGGGGCACGUGGAUGCGUCGCAAGAUACAGUCGGAGUGCGGCAUGCACGCGAGGCACAAGACCGGCAAUACCUUGCCGGUGAUGAGGACCAACUGGGUGAUGCACCAGUACCACCUCGGGCACUUGGAGCAAGAGAAGGAGCGGGAGCUGGUCCUCUACAAGAUUUUCUACCAGACGAACACUGCUAGGGCCAGGAGUAAAAAGAUUAUUAGUUUGGUAUUGGUAGUUGUACUACCUUGUCGUCCGCAAGUUGGUAUUGUUGUCAACGAUCUUUUGGCCCAUCCCAUGACGACAACGGGGCACAAAGAUCCAGCAGCUAUCUACUGGCCUCUGGCCCGCCAGCGUUAG